RNAcentral lists this ribosomal RNA (301 nucleotides) under uncultured bacterium. RNAcentral describes it as "partial 16S ribosomal RNA". It matches the Rfam family "Bacterial small subunit ribosomal RNA", at positions 509 to 809 of the family's 1533-position model. The record is from RNAcentral.
CAGCAGCCGCGGGAAUACGUAGGGUGCGAGCGUUAAUCGGAAUUACUGGGCGUAAAGCGUGCGCAGGCGGUUAUAUAAGACAGAUGUGAAAUCCCCGGGCUCAACCUGGGACCUGCAUUUGUGACUGUAUAGCUAGAGUACGGUAGAGGGGGAUGGAAUUCCGCGUGUAGCAGUGAAAUGCGUAGAUAUGCGGAGGAACACCGAUGGCGAAGGCAAUCCCCUGGACCUGUACUGACGCUCAUGCACGAAAGCGUGGGGAGCAAACAGGAUUAGAGACCCGAGUAGUCCCUGUCUCUUAUAA